Molecule: long non-coding RNA, 4720 nt
Filed under: Sus scrofa (pig)
Lineage: Eukaryota; Metazoa; Chordata; Mammalia; Artiodactyla; Suidae
Description: lncRNA (ENSSSCG00040022988.1)
Source: RNAcentral
AAAAAAAAAAAAAAAAAAAAAGAGUGUGUGUGUGUGUGUUUGUAUGUGCGCACGAGUGCGCGUGCGAUCUUCAUCACCUAUUUAUGAGCCAUUAAAUCCACCAUUAGCUUCUAGGUUUCUGCAUGAAUACAGGCCAUACGUGUAAGAACUGUACAGAACUUUUUUUUCUUAUUUUUAUCAGGGGUGACAUUUUUUUUUUUUUAAAGAAGCAAGAGACUGCUUCCUGUAAAUGUUACUAAUUUAUGUUAUUGAAUAGGUGAUUCAACAAAAUAACUACUCUGAUUAACUUAUUGCUUGCCUAAAGUUUGGUGUCUUGGAGUUCCCGUCAUGGCUCAGAGGAAAUGAAUCUAACCAGCAUCCAUUAGGAUGCAGGUUCGAUCCCUGGCCUUGCUCAGUGGAUUAAGAAUCUGGCAUUGCCCUGAGCUGUGGUGUAGGUCGUACAUGUGGCAUGGAUCUGGCAUUGCUGUGGCUAUAGCAUAGGCCAGUGGCUACAGCUCCAAUUCAACCCCUGGCCUGAGAACCUCCAUAUGCUGUGGGUAUGCCCCCCCAAAUUAAAUUAAAUUAAAUUUUGUGUCUCAAUUUAAAAAUAAUAGAACCAAUCCCUAAAAAAUGCAUGUGAUAUCCAUUUGCCAGAUUUUUCAUUCAUAGAAAUAGAGAGCUGUUAUAAAUAUAGCCAUUUAACAUUUGCCUUUCAAUAAGAUAUAUUCUGGGACUAAUUUGAAAUUUUUAAAAAUUCCACCUUAAAUUUGAAUUGUAAUGAUAGACAUUUUUGUUCUAAGAAUAUACAUGCAUAUACAUGGUAAGUAAUUUUUUUUUAGUUUAAACGUAAAAAAUCCUAAAUAAGCUAGUAUAUCACAAUAAAAACAGUUGUCAAAUAUGUUCUUCCUGAGAAAUGGUAUUAAAAUUAUUUAUUAUAAACCUUAUAACAUUAAUGAGAUUUCUAGCAAAGAAAAUAAAUCAUUUAGUCUAAUCCCUCUCCCCCAAAUGCAAUAAUUUAUUUCUAUUUUAGAAUAGUUCCUUUUUAUCUUUCAACAAAUGCCUGUUCUUUGCAUGGUUAUACUAGCUAGAUUAGUGAACAUAGAACUGUAUGUAUGUGCACUAACAUACCUGUAUGUGUAAUGUUGCAUAAAUAAAUCACAUUAGUAUUUAAUUAAUUGUCUAUUUUUUGAAGCAUACAUUUUUAUUUAGUGCAGUAAAUUUAGUACACAUUUGACUUUGCAAAACUAUCUCAAGCCAGUCUACACCAAAGUACCUAUGCCAAACUACUCUAGACUGAAUUACCAUAAGAAUUACAUUACAUGCAUUUUAUUACUUCUAUCUAUUCAUUGGAGGGGAGGGAUGGUAAAAAAAUAUGUCACAUAGCUAUUAGAAGAGAUUUUUCUCAGGUACUUGAAAAUUUUUAUUCAGGAGAAAAUAAUUGUAACAAAGAAAAAGAAUCUAGAAGUUCCCGUCGUGGCUCAAGGGUUAAUGAAUCCAACUAGUAUCCAUGAGGAUGCAGGUUUGAUCCCUGACCUUGCUCAGUGGGUUAAGGAUUCAGCAUUGCAGUGAGUUGUGGUGUAGGUUGCAGACAUGGCUCAGAUCCUGCAGCUGUAGCUGCCAGCCUAUACCACAACCACAGCAAUUCCAGAUCCGAGACACAUCUGCAACCUACACCACAGCUUACAGCAUUGCCAGAUCCUUAACCUGCUGAGUGAGGCCAGGAAUCAAACCCGCAUGCUCAUGGAUACUAGUCAGGUUUGUUAUUGCUGAGCCAAAACAGGAACUCCAGUAUUAACUCUUUUGGUGGGAAAAAUGGAAGAAGUAUCUUGGGAUAUGAGUUUUCUUUCUGCUGUUCUCUGCUUACAACAUAUUACACUUCUUUUAAAACCAGACUCUUCAAAACGGCACACAUGAGCCUCUGAUUACAUUCUCAUCUUUAUCUCAAUUGACCUACCUCUUUCAGCUUAUGGUGCUUCAACAAUAUUAACUAUUUUUCUUUUCCUGGAAUAUCUCUAUGACUUAGGAAUUUGGGGUUGAUUUCCUAUCUGUCUGGAAUACUUAUCCUUUGGUUAGUUCCAUGCUUGACUCCAUAGUCCUACGAGGCGUGGAUUAAAUACCCUUUAUCUAGAAGAUCUUUUCUGACCACCAUAUCUAAAAUAGCUUCCCACCAGAAUCGUUUGCUGUAACACCACCUUUUUUAUUUCUUUCAGAAUAGUUGUCACAAGAAUAAUCAUGUUAGUUGGAUAUCUUCUCUAACAAAGGGUAAGUUCCAUGAGUACAGGGACUUUUCCUACCUUUUACCCCUGAUGUAGCUACUGUGCAGAACACAGCACCUGGUAGACUAAAAACCUGAAAGAACACGCAAAUAUUUGCUGCAAAAAUGAACAUUUACUGUCUUAAUAUAAACAGCAAGUUAAUUUGAAAAGUGAAGUAUAAUUCUGAUGCUCAUGUAUAGUUUUGUUUGUCUAAAUCCAAUUACUAGUUAGUAUCCACAUUGUGAUGCAUCCAAAUUGCAUUUUCAUUUCAGCAAUUGAGGCUCUGGGAUAUACAAAGGUAGGAGAUUUUUCCCAAAGCAAAUGAUAGAGAUGAAAAAAAGAGAUCUGUGUACCUUGCUUUUAUUCAGAAAAGAAAUAACUACGUUUAUUAUAAAAUUUAUAAGAAUGUAGACAUGUGUCUUGUGACAUCAUGUAUUUUAAAUUCUGCAUUGAUAUUGAAUUUAAUAACUAGCUUAGGCAAAAUUUCAUAAAUUUGAAAGUUUGUUAGAAAGUCGUUACUUCUUUUUAAAAAUUUUAUUAAAGUGUGGUUGAUUUACAAUGUUGUUUAUUUAUGCUGCACAGCAAAGUGAUUCAGUUAUACAUACAUAUCUUUUCUUUUUCAUAUUCUUUUCCAUUAUAGUUUAUCAUGGGAUAUUGAAUAUAGUUCCCUGUGCCAUACAGUAAGAUCUUAUUGUUUAUCUUAUCCUAUCUAUAAUAGUUUCUGUCUGCUAAUCCCAAACUCCCAAUCCCCCCUCCUCUCUCCCUUUUGGCAACCACAAGUGUGUUCUUGUGUUCUCCUAUCUGUGAGCCUGAUUCUGUUUCAAAAAUAUGUUCAUUUGUGUCAUAUUUUAGAUUCCACAUAUAAGUGAUAUCACAAAGUGUUUGUCUUUCUCUUUCUCACUCACUUUGUUUAGUAUGAUAAUCUCUAGUUGCAUCUCUGUUCCUUCAAAGGGCGGUAUAUUUUUAUUUUCUUAUAGCUGAGUAAUAUUCCAUUAUACGUAUAUACACACAUACAUAUAUACCACAUCUUCUUUAUCCAUUCAUCUCUCAAUGGAUAUUUACCUGUUUCUAUGUCUUGGCUAUUAUAAAUAAUGCCACUAUGAACAUAAGGGUGCAUGUAUGUUCUUGAAUUAUAGUUUUUUCUGGAUACAUGUCCACGAGUGGGAUUGCUAGGUCAUAUAGCAGCUCUAAUUUUUUUUUUUUUUUUUUUGAGGAAACUUCAUAUUGUUUUCCAAUGUAGCUGUACCAAAUAACAUUCCCACCAACAGUGCCGGAAGUUUCCCUUUUCUCCAGCAUUUAUUAUUGUAGACUUUUUAAUCAUGACCAUUCUGGCAGUAUGAUGUGGUACCACAUUGUAGUUUUGAUUUGCAUUUCUCAAAAAAUUAGCUAUGAUAAGCAUCUUUUCAUGUUCCUAUUGGCUAUCUGUAUUCUUCUAGAGAAAUGUCUAUUUAAAUAUUCUGCCCAUUUUUCAAUUGGGAUGUUUGUUUAUUUUGUUAUUGAGUUAUAUGAACUGUUUGUAUUUUUGUAAGUUAGGCCCUUGCCAUUUGUAUUAGCUGCAAAUAUUUUCUCCCAGUCCAAAGAAUGUCUUUUCAUUUUGUUUAUGGUUUCCUUUGCUAUGCAAAUCUUAUAAGUUUUAUUAGGUCUCAUUUGUUUGUUUUUGUUUUUUGCUUUAUUUCUAUUGCCUUGGGGGACUAAUCAAAGAAAACAUUGGUAUGAUUUAUGUCAGAGAAUAUUUUACCUAUGUUCUCAUCUAGUUAUCUCUAGUUUAAGUCUUUAAGCCAUUUUGAGUUUAUAUUUGUGUAUGGUGUGAGAGUGUGUUCUAAAUUCAUUGAUUUGCCUGUGGCUCUCCAAGGAAAGUUUUUACCUUUUGUUUUUAUAAAUUUUAUUGGAGUAUAGGUGACAACAAUAUUUUGUUAGUUUCAGGUGUAUAGCUAAGUGAAUCACUGUACAUAUACAUUUACAUCCAUCCUUUUUCAGAUUCUUUCCCCAUAUAGGCAAUUACAGAAUAUUGAGUAGAUUUCCCCAAGCUAUAUAGUAAGUCCCUAUUAAUGGUUGAUUUUGUAUAUAGUACUUUGUAUAUGCCAAUCUCACCUCCUUAUCCAUCACUUCCUUCAUGGUUCCUCUUUGGUAACCAUGAGCUUGGUUUUGAAAUCUUUAAAUCUGUUUCUGUUUUGUGAAAAAAAAAUAAUAAUAAUUAUAAUAAUAAUUCUGUUUUGUACUUCUUUUAUUAGAUACCACAUAUCAGUGAUCUCACAUGAUAUUUGUCUUUGUCUGUCUCUGACUUACCUCACUUAGUAUGAUAAACUCUAGGUCCAUCCAUAUUGCUGCAAAUGGCAUUAUUUUCUUCCUUUUUGUGGCCAUGUAAUAUUCCAUUUGUAUAUGCACCACAUCUUCUUUAUCUAAUCCUCUGUUGAUGGACAUUUAGAUGGCUUCCAUGUCUUGGCUAUCGUAAAUAGUGCUGCAGAGAACAUCAGGGUGCAUGUAUC